CUGGCUUGUCUUUAAAUACAUUUAAAACUUAACGUUUGUUUUAGUCCCUGCCUGAUGCUGUAGACCCUCCAGUUGCAAUGGAGAUAAGGCCUCUGUCAGCUGAUGUGGCGUCUCUCUAUACUCAAGCAGUGCGAGCAGCUCAACAUCCCCACGAGCUACAGGAAAAGAGAGAAGAGAAAGUUACCAAGUGUGUCAAUAAAAAGAAGCAAAAGUCACUGUGGGAAAACAGGAUUAACCAGCACAGGCAAGAACUCCAGGAGCAGAGAAGACACAGAAACGCACUCAGACACCAUAUCGUUACUCCAUACUUUCACCCUGAGCUGAAGGAAAUGUCACUCUUUACAGAUGAGGAUCUAGACUUGAGCUCACUCUCCCUGGAUCUUCCACCCUUCCCCAGAGCGCAGCGCUUCUCCACGGACUCUUCAUCAGGCAGAAGUAGUUCCUGUGAGGUUUAAAGAAUAACAAUAAUAUUUAAGUAUUAUUUUUAAUGGAAAGUCUUCAGAAAUAAACUUUGAGUACUUUAUCUGAUUCUACAAAUACAGAUGCAUUAAAAAACUUGUGAAAGCUUUGCCAAGGCAUCUGUUAUUCAGCAUUUUCUGGAAAUGUCUCGCUCCAAAAAUAGUGCAAAAAUUGUGUAA
This 638-nucleotide long non-coding RNA is filed under the name Sinocyclocheilus anshuiensis. RNAcentral's name for it is "lncRNA (ENSSANG00000027974.1)". Lineage: Eukaryota; Metazoa; Chordata; Actinopteri; Cypriniformes; Cyprinidae. The record is from RNAcentral.